UACGUAAGUGGCGAGCGUUGUCCGGAAUUACUGGGCGUAAAGGACAGGUAGGCGGCUUCGUAAGUCUGAGGUGAAAUCUCUGGGCUUAACCCAGAAACUGCCUUGGAAACUGCGAAGCUAGAGGUCCGGAGAGGGAAGUGGAAUUCCGGGUGUAGCGGUGAAAUGCGUAGAUAUCCGGGAGAACACCAAUGGCGAAGGCAGCUUCCUGGCCGGAACCUGACGCUCAACUGUGAAAGCUGGGGGAGCGAACGGG
This 253-nucleotide ribosomal RNA is filed under the name uncultured bacterium. RNAcentral describes it as "partial 16S ribosomal RNA". It matches the Rfam family "Bacterial small subunit ribosomal RNA", at positions 524 to 776 of the family's 1533-position model. The record is from RNAcentral.